AAGUCGUAACAAGGUUUCCGUAGGUGAACCUGCGGAAGGAUCAUUAUUGAAUAAACUUGAUGUGGUUGUAGCUGACUCCCUUGAGGGGUAUGUGCUCGCCCGUCAUCUUUGUCUUUCCACCUGUGCACUUCUUGUAGAUUUGGAUGUAAUAUAUUGAACGCUUCUUAAUGGGGCUUCUUUACGCGUUCAAGUCUAUGCUUUUCACAUACUCCAAAGAAUGUAACAGAAUGUAUCACUAGGCCUCAGUGCCUAUAAACUUUAUACAACUUUCAGCAACGGAUCUCUUGGCUCUC
Molecule: unclassified non-coding RNA, 293 nt
Filed under: air metagenome
Description: partial contains small subunit ribosomal RNA, internal transcribed spacer 1, and 5.8S ribosomal RNA
Rfam family: Eukaryotic small subunit ribosomal RNA (bases 1-46)
Source: RNAcentral